CUGUACACACUUUUCUUAUCAACAAAUGAGUCAACAACCUCCAAUCUUCAUCUUCUUGAUCGAUUGAUCCUUAUACAUGUUAACUAAUAUGGUAUCAGAGAUUUAGGAUUCGUCAUUAGCUCCAUAUUUUUAAUCAAUCAUCCACAAAAGACAUCCCCAAUUGAAUCUCCUUCACAUAGAUUUCCGACAUUCCUGCAUCUCUUCUUCCCCAAACAUAAAAUCGAAACCAUUGGCAAACUACAUUUGUUCCUGCUCAUCCCUCGAUCAACAUAACCGCUAUAUCAAAAUCGGCUUCUCAAAAAUCCAUAUUUCAACACAGAUUAUCCAUUACUUUCGGGCGUCUCAAAUUUCGAAUAAAUAUUACAACAAGAUUGUCUACUUUUCUUUUCAACAAUCAAUGCAUUCUUUGGCAAAAUGCAUCAUGCAUCUCAUGGUAAAUUUUCUUUUCCAAAAGACUACCUAUUUUGAGGUUAAGAAUCAGGGCACCUAAACCUAUGAUUAUUCUCAUCUUGAAGCCCUCUUGAAUCAUCACAAAAGCUUUGUUAGUAAUUAUCAAAUCGAUUUGGUUGUUCUUGAAUCAGAAUCUCAAUCUCAUAAGCAUCUCAAUUUCACAAUUUAGAUUGAACUGGUAAUAGAGAUUUUACAAUCUCUAAAGUCAUCUUCUUUGGAAUUGGUCAAUAUUCUUUUACGGACUAAGUAAUUAUGUCAUAGUAUACAACAAAUAUCUACGCUUCUAUGGAGCAAUUACACAAGAAUCAUGAUAUGGUGCAACAACACAUGUUCAAGUACACUGCCAAUUCUGAUGUAACAGAUGCAUAUUAUCUUAUGGAGCUUGAUAUGGGCAUAUUUAACUAUAAAAUUCAUGCAUUAUCUUAAUAUUUUAUGUUGUUUUUGUCUCAUUUAAUGAACAAAACGUGCUUAAUUAGUUUGGAAUUUCAUUUUUCAGCAACAAUGACAUGCUCGGGUGGAAAAGGAAGCGGAACUAGCGAUUGGAAGCUUGGAUCUUGGAUUUUGAAGAAAGAAGGAUGUUGUUGGACAACUUGACCCCUCGUCAGUGUUUUGGUCAUAUCUCAUGAACCGUAACUCCGAUUGACAGGAUGAAAAAUGUUCUGAAAACUAGACACAAUUUCGGACGAUUUUCGUGUUUUGAGAAAAUGCUGAUUCCAAACGGACUCGACGAUUAGGCCAUAAACUCGACAAGUCACGUCGAACUUUCGCGAUUCUGGACGCGCUAACUUGCCGUACACGGGUUUUAAGUGACGGACUCGCCGAUUAGGUCACUGGACUCGACGAGUCACCUCUGUUUUGUGAAAAUCUAAAUAAAGGGCAUUCUUGCCUGAUACCCUAGCAUAUAGAUGAACCCUUGGAGGCCAAUUGUCGACUAAAGGUGUUGUUGGAGUGUGGGAAGCUAAGGAAUCAACCCUACAUUCAAUUUUAAGGAGAAUCAAGGCAAAAUAAAGUUUAUUCUUUACCUAAUCUCUUGUUUGAACUAUGUUUUUACCAAUUGAUUUCGUUUUUGAGCUUGUUUCUGCUGUAAUCAUGAGUUAAAACUCAUACCUUCUAUUUAGGAUAGAUGAUUUUGUGAUUAUGGUUUGAUUAUGUGGUUGGAUUAAUUUAAUUUGGUGAACUUUGUUUUAUUAAGCUUGUUAAAAACCCUUAUGCAUUAACCAUAACUAUUCUCUGUUAAUUGCUAAGUAAUUAAGCUGCAUGAACAUCUCUUAAUUGCUUAUCUCAUAUAAUUUAUGUGAACACAUUGCUAUAUGCCUAGGAAUAGUGAAUAUGAAACUAGGAUUAACUAGAUAAUGGGUAAAUUUAGGGGUGAGCAAAAACCGCACCGCAACUAAAAUUAACCGCAAAAACCGCAUAAACCACAAUCGAAAAACCGCAACCGCAAUAAAAACCAAUGGUGAGGUUUUCUGUUUUUCAAAAACCGCAAAUUUGCAGUGCGGUGCGGUUAUUAGUUUCCAAAAACCGCAAAAAAACCGCACCGCACCGCAUAUAUUAUAUACAAUUUUUUUUAUCAGUUAUUAAUUUAUUAAAUAUUAAAAAUAAGACAAGUUUCAUGAAUGAAAGACGGAUAAAAUACUAGAAGACAAAAGUGUUAGUUUUUUCUUAUGUUUAACUUUAUAAAAAGGAUGAAAUUAGACAAUUUUAAGAUAUUUAUUGUUAAUUACUAUUGAUUUGACGUUUUUAAGAUAUUAGUUGUUUGUGGUUUAAGUUAGAUACUUACUUGUCUUAUACAUUAUGGUUUUUUUUAUUAUUACAAGUAAUAUGUUUGAACUCUUAAAACUAUCUGAGCUCUAAAUUAUGGUUAAAAACCACACAAAAUAAUCGCACCUUCAUGUGGUUAAUAACCGCAACACAAAAAAAAACAAAACCGCACCACAACAAUAACCGCCUAACCGCACCGCAAAAAUAACCGCACCAUGCGGUUUUGAAAAUGGAUUAACCGCAUUUGCGGUUAGUGGUGAUGUUUUGGCUAAUAACCGCACCGAACCGCACCGCGCUCACCCCUAGGUAAAUUAAUGUGUGAGCUUGUAUGAUACACCAUCAACAAGAGGUUAAUUGAAUCACCAAUUUAAUUAGCUAAUUACAAGUCUUAUUUAACCCGAAUCAAUAAACUAGGAAACUCAUUGGUUUAAUCAACUAAUCACUGCUUGAAUUAAUUUGUUUUCUAAGGAUUAGUAAUAACAAACGUGAACCUAAUCAUACUAAUCGGUAGCCAAUGCCAAUUAAUCCAUUGCACUUGUCAUAAAAUCAACCAUAGGAAUAAAUGAUUCGAACCUAAACAGAAGUCUCCUUAAUUAUUGAAUUUAGUUGAUUUUUAUUUGCUUAGCUCUUAGUUUCUUAGUUUAAGUUUUAGUUAAUUGUUUAAGUUUCUAGUCUUGCAAAACUAGAGAAAACCCUCUUUCUAUUACUUGUUUUAUUUAGAUAAUAUUAGCAUUUAUUUUAAUUGUUUACCGUUCCCUGUGUUCGAUACCCUACUUACCUGAACUAAACUGCUAAUCGAUAGGUACACUGUCUUUCGUGUGUUUGUCUUUGUGUUUAAGUUAGUAGGAUUAAAACUAGUGCAUUUCACACACAUAAAGUUUUUGGCACCGUUGUCGCGUAACGGUUCUAAAUAGUUAAUUUUAUUUGCUAAUUGCUAUCAUAUAUUUUUAUUUUUUUUAUAUAGUUUAAUUUUUAUUUAUUAUGUAUUUUCCAAAUCUCGAUGCAUUUGAUACUUUUCUUGAGGAAGUAGUACAGGAAAUUGAGCAAGAAGAUGAGGAGUGUGGAUCGGAUGAAGAUUUGAAGAAAUUUGAUAGAUGGUUAAAUAACAUUUUGUCUAACGAUCAAGAACAAUUUGAGUCACAAGAGCUAGAUUUGCAAGAUGAAGAAUUUAAUCCAGAAAGAGAUUUGGAGGAGUUGCAAAGGUUGCUAGCAGAGAGGUCGGACGAAGAACAAGAACAAUCUGAAUUGUAGGAACCAAGUCAUGGUUUGACCAUUACCACGACAUGCCCCCCUGUAUUUCCGGUUUGUGUUUCGAAGCAUGGGGUGACAUUUCCAAAGUUGGAGAAAGUUCUGAAGCGCGAUCCAUUUUUUAUUAGUAUCCGACCGGUUCCAACCCUUGUCAAGAUUUUUGGUUUUAUGAAUUAAAGCUCGUUUGGCCAAUUUUUGAAGCAAAGAGUCGAAUUUUACAAAUUGAUCCAAAGAAAAUAUUUAAUGCAAUAGAUGGAUGGGCAUCGAAUUUAUUAGAAGUUUAUUAAGUUGGGAGUCCAGCUAAAGACUCGCACAAAAAGAAGCCCUUGCGGGAGGCAACCCGUCAUUAGAGUUUGUUUUUCUUUUUCUUUCUAAACUUCUAGUAUUUAGGGAUAAUUUAGGAUUUUUAUUUUGAUGUUUUUUUUAUUACUUGGUAUUUGUUUUUGAUCUUUUCAGAAUAUAGGGUGAGGGAUAGAAUGAACGAAUAAAGUGUGAGGAAAUAAAGUGAAGGGUCGAGUCGUAGAUGAGAAGAUUAGAAGAUUUGAGUGAUUUUAUAAGUCCGAUGGUUUUAACGGUUAAAAAGGAGUUUCGUCAUUGAAGAAUAUAAGGAGGUGUGUUACCUUAAUACCCUCUUUGACCUCAAAAACAGACUUGAAGCAGAAAGAAGAAUUUGCACGAUCAGAGCCGAAAAGUUGUCGGGUGCACCCUUAUAACUCGACGAGUUCCAACGAAAAUUCACGAUUUCUGCCCAUAUGACGAUUCAACUCGGCGAGUCUCCACAUAAAACUCGACAAGUUGCUCAUUAUUUUAUCUUUGAGUCGACGAUUUGAUUCAAUUCAAGGCGACAAUUGGCUAUAUUUUUGAAGACCAUUUCUAGGCGAUUCCAAGAUGCUUUUUUGCCACAUAUUUAGAGUUGUGAACCACACGAGAUUUGACGCCCAAAGCAUGGAUGCGCUGUUCUCAUGCCAAAGUCAGCUGAAGUUGGAGCUUUACAUGAAGAAGAUCAACCUCACGACUACUAUCCCAGGGGAGUUUGUUCCAAUUCUCUCUUUGCUUUUAUGUUUUUUUAUCAUGCGUAAUAUGCAAUGGGGGCAUUGCAUAAAUUAAGUGUGGGUAGGGGUUGGUUACAUUAGUUAAAAUUUUAGUUAAAUUUUGAAAAUUUUGAAAGUUGGUUACAUUAGUUAAAAUUUUAGUUAAAUUUUGAAAAUUUUGCAUAAAAAUUGGUAGGUCUAAAUUAGAAAAUUUUGGUAAAAGCAAUUAGGGUUCAUGCUAGUAUUAUGUUCAAUGAUUCUUUGAAGACCCAAAUGUUUAGUUGAGUUUAUACACGUUAUAAUGCAUUUGUGGCCCUCUUUAUUCUAGUGAAAUCAUGGGACAAAAACACAACCUCGCUUAGUUUGAGGAAUGCAAUAUGUUUAGCACCGUGUACUAGAAAUGUAUCCAGGAAAAAUUUAUCUUUAACCAAUAAAGGUUGAAGUUGAGCGCCCCUGCUUAAGCAUGUAGGUUUUCAGUGAAAAAAAAAAGUGAGUUACAUGUGAAAAAAAGAAAAAAGAAAGAGAGAAUUACAAGAAAAAGUUGUAAGAAUUUUGGAGCAGUCAAAAGUAAAGAUCAAAUGAUCAAAGUUCUAAAAAAAAAGUGAAGAUACCAAAAAUUAAAAAGAUGGUGAAAUAUCAAAGAAGUGAAGAAUUCCAAAAGAGCUCCAUAGUGGUAUCGAAAAAAAGUUGUAAUUUUCUAGAUUAUGUAUGCUUGGGUUUCUUGACCAAAAAUACUUUGAGGUUAAGAAGUUUUCUGCGGAUGGAUCCGGAGGGAUGCAUAAAAUGAGCGUUGUUCAAAAGAAGUGAGCAGAUGUUUAUGAGGAUUGUGGGUAUUUAGAAGUAGGGGGUCCUUAGGAAAAAUUUUAGACGCAAAUGCAUGCAUUGCGGUCUUGGCAUAAUGGAUGGGUUUGAUUAGAAUUAUUUUAUGUAAUGCUCGUAUGCUAAAAUCCAGUUUUGCUUGGGGGCAAGCAAAAGUCAAGUGUGGGGUAUUUUGAUAUGGGCAUAUUUAGUUAUAAAAUUCAUGCAUUAUCUUAAUACUUUAUGUUGUUUUUGUCUCAUUUAAUGAACAAAACGUGCUUAAUUAGUUUAGAACUUCAUUUUUCAGCAACAAUGACAUGCUCGGGUGGAAAAGGAAGCGGAACUAGCGAUUGGAAGCUUGGAUCUUGGAUUUUGAAGAAAGAAGGAUGUUGUUGGACAACUUGACCCCUCGUCAGUGUUUUGGUCAUAUCUCAUGAACCGUAACUCCGAUUGACAAGAUGAAAAAUGUUCUGAAAACUAGACACAAUUUCGGACGAUUUUCGUGUUUUGAGAAAAUGCUGAUUCCAAACGGACUCGACGAUUAGGCCAUAAACUCGACAAGUCACGUCGAACUUUCGCGAUUCUGGACGCGCUAACUUGCCGUACACGGGUUUUAAGUGACGGACUCGCCGAUUAGGUCACUGGACUCGACGAGUCACCUCUGUUUUGUGAAAAUCUAAAUAAAGGGCAUUCUUGCCUGAUACCCUAGCAUAUAGAUGAACCCUUGGAGGCCAAUUGUCGACUAAAGGUGUUGUUGGAGUGUGGGAAGCUAAGGAAUCAACCCUACAUUCAAUUUUAAGGAGAAUCAAGGCAAAAUAAAGUUUAUUCUUUACCUAAUCUCUUGUUUGAACUAUGUUUUUACCAAUUGAUUUCGUUUUUGAGCUUGUUUCUGCUGUAAUCAUGAGUUAAAACUCAUACCUUCUAUUUAGGAUAGAUGAUUUUGUGAUUAUGGUUUGAUUAUGUGGUUGGAUUAAUUUAAUUUGGUGAACUUUGUUUUAUUAAGCUUGUUAAAAACCCU
Molecule: long non-coding RNA, 6306 nt
Filed under: Lactuca sativa (garden lettuce)
Lineage: Eukaryota; Viridiplantae; Streptophyta; Magnoliopsida; Asterales; Asteraceae
Description: long non-coding RNA (LSAT_LNC003921)
Source: RNAcentral